RNAcentral lists this ribosomal RNA (374 nucleotides) under uncultured eukaryote. Its description in RNAcentral is "partial 18S ribosomal RNA". It matches the Rfam family "Eukaryotic small subunit ribosomal RNA", at positions 592 to 976 of the family's 1831-position model. The record is from RNAcentral.
UAAUAGUGUAUAUUAAAGUUGUUGCAGUUAAAAAGCUCGUAGUUGAAUGUUGGUGUCGAACGAGCGGUCAGCUUCGGCUGUACUGCUCUCUCGACUCCUUCCUUCUGUGGACUACGUCGCACUUUACUGUGUGGCGCUAGGACGCAGAUCGUUUACUGUGAAAAAAUUAGAGUGUUCAAAGCAGGCCGUACGCUUGAAUACAUUAGCAUGGAAUAAUGGAAUAGGACGUCGGGCCUAUUUUGUUGGUUCUAGGACCGUCGUAAUGAUUAAUAGGGACAGUUGGGGCCGUUUAUAUUCCGUAGUCAGAGGUGAAGUUCUUGGAUUUACGGAAGAUAAACUACUGCGAAAGCAUUCGACAAGGAUGUUUUCGUUAA